Molecule: non-coding RNA, 135 nt
Filed under: human gut metagenome
Description: THF riboswitch
Rfam family: THF (Tetrahydrofolate) riboswitch aptamer
About the family: THF riboswitch presents a pseudoknot that joins P1-P2 and the loop of P3 and two THF binding.
Source: RNAcentral
GCAGAGUAGGACGUGCGCGUGAAGUGCCGUCGGGACGGGGAGUUUGCCUGACGGACGAAAGCCUAGCGGACGGCGGGGCAUUAUUCGAUGCCUGCAGCCUUGCGCGGCUGCGGUGUACGCUCCGCAUCCCGCUGU